Molecule: ribosomal RNA, 962 nt
Filed under: uncultured Bacteroidota bacterium
Lineage: Bacteria; Pseudomonadati; Bacteroidota
Description: bacterial SSU rRNA
Rfam family: Bacterial small subunit ribosomal RNA
Source: RNAcentral
AUGCAAGUCGAGGGGUAGAAUUUCUUCGGAAAUUUGAGACCGGCGCACGGCUGUGUAACGCGUAUGCAAUCUACCCUUUACUGGAGAAUAGCCCGGAGAAAUUCGGAUUAAUGCCCCAUAUGCUCGUAGGAUCUCCUGAUCCAGCGAGGAAAGCUCCGGCGGUAAAGGAUGAGCAUGCGUCCCAUUAGCUUGUUGGUGAGGUAACGGCUCACCAAGGCGACGAUGGGUAGGGGGCCUGAGAGGGCGAUCCCCCACACUGGUACUGAGACACGGACCAGACUCCUACGGGAGGCAGCAGUGAGGAAUAUUGAGCAAUGGAGGCAACUCUGACCCAGCCAUGCCGCGUGCAGGAAGACGGUCCUCUGGAUUGUAAACUGCUUUUAUUAGGGAAUAAACCCUCCUACGUGUAGGAGGCUGAAGGUACCUGAUGAAUAAGCAUCGGCUAACUCCGUGCCAGCAGCCGCGGUAAUACGGAGGAUGCAAGCGUUAUCCGGAUUUAUUGGGUUUAAAGGGUCCGUAGGCGGGUAUUUAAGUCAGUGGUGAAAGCCCACAGCUCAACUGUGGAACUGCCAUUGAUACUGGAUGUCUUGAGUAUAGUAGAAGUAGGCGGAAUAGGGCAUGUAGCGGUGAAAUGCAUAGAUAUGCCCUAGAACACCGAUUGCGAAGGCAGCUUACUAUGUUAUAACUGACGCUGAGGGACGAAAGCGUGGGGAGCAAACAGGAUUAGAUACCCUGGUAGUCCACGCCGUAAACGAUGAUUACUCGCUGCUGGCGAUAUACAGUCAGUGGCCAAGCGAAGGCAUUAAGUAAUCCACCUGGGGAGUACGCCGGCAACGGUGAAACUCAAAGGAAUUGACGGGGGCCCGCACAAGCGGUGGAGCAUGUGGUUUAAUUCGAUGAUACGCGAGGAACCUUACCAGGGUUUAAAUGGGAAUUGACAGAUGCCGAAAGGUGUCCUUCUU